AUUUCCAUCUCUUUCCCUGGUGUUGACAAAUAGAUUGCUGUUGGUUUCUUCUUUGUUCCUUGCUCCUCUCAAGUCAGAAGAAAGACCCGUUUGUGUGUAUCUCUGCUGUGUGGCCAUGCCAAGUCUGCUUAACAUCUCUGAGCCUCAAUUUUCCUCGAUUCUAGGGUUGAACACGGACUUGUAACACUGAUAUGUGAAGGACUCAAACAGAAGGUGGAGGGAUUACUGUGGACAGAGCACUUGGCGACAGCAGUCUAUAUUCUACAAGGCUCAGUUUCAGGAGCCCAGUUCCUGGAGUGAGAGCAGCUGGCGCAGUGCCAGCCAGGCAGGUGGCAAGCCAGCAGCCAAGCAUUGUUUUAUUAACGGCUCAGGGCAGAUGGUCAGCGCCAUUCCUGGAACUGGAGACCAGUGAGCAGAAUACAAUCUAAUUGUCAGCCUCGACAUCACAGACACACAGAUGACUAGUGAUCAUGGACAUCUUGCUAUGAUAUUGAUAGAUAAAAGCCACAUAAACAAACACUCUGGAGUCUUCAGUAACUUAUUUCAGAACAUAAGGGGUCCUGCAAGCAACAAGUUUGAGAACUACUACUGUAUGUGAAAACUCAUACAGGUAAGAAACCCUAUGAACAUAAAGUAUUGAUAAAGUAUCUAAAGUCUCUAAAGAAUGCUCCUCCCUUAUUCAACAUGUGAGUUCAUACAAGUUAAAAAAAAAACCUAUGAAUAUGAAGAAACGGGGGGAAUCUUUAGCAAUACGGCAUUGUUAGUAACCAGCAAAGAUUAGUGGAGGAACUCUGCAAAUGUGGUCAAUAACAUUCAUAUGAGAGAGAGAUCUUGUUUCUAUAAAAGUAAUCCAUGCAGAAAAAGUCACUCUAUAGAAUAACA
Molecule: long non-coding RNA, 882 nt
Organism: Callithrix jacchus (white-tufted-ear marmoset)
Lineage: Eukaryota; Metazoa; Chordata; Mammalia; Primates; Cebidae
Source: RefSeq, a predicted model, not a curated record